UCUCAAUUUUCUUAUUUUAGGUGUGAUAUGAAUGAUUAAUGUGGAAUUAUUUGGUUGUGGAUUGUUGAAAAAGGUAAUCAUGAACUGUUAUAUUGCAACCUUGAACGAAAUUUGGGGGAACUAAUAAUCGAAUAAGUUAAACGUUAAUUAGUUUUGAUUCAUUAUUGGAUAUUGUUGAAAUUGAUAGUAUCGUGCUUUAGAUCGUUAAAUGGGUAGGUAAAUACUAAGUUCGGGUAGGCAA
Molecule: long non-coding RNA, 241 nt
Filed under: Capsicum annuum
Lineage: Eukaryota; Viridiplantae; Streptophyta; Magnoliopsida; Solanales; Solanaceae
Description: long non-coding RNA (CANN_LNC003024)
Source: RNAcentral